RNAcentral lists this long non-coding RNA (1006 nucleotides) under Prunus persica (peach). RNAcentral's name for it is "long non-coding RNA (PPER_LNC004235)". Lineage: Eukaryota; Viridiplantae; Streptophyta; Magnoliopsida; Rosales; Rosaceae. The record is from RNAcentral.
UUUCCUGUAUUUUUCAUAGUUUUAUGUGUAAUAGAAUCAAAUGCAUGUCUGGUCCCAUUAGCUGUUAGAUGUUAUGUUCUAUUAUGAUACCUUUUUAUGCAUGGAAAUAUAAUUUGAUUUGAAGGUUGGAGUGUAGGUUUAGGAGCCAUAUGAUGCAGCUUUUUAGGUAAAAGAUCUUCCUUUCAAACCCAAAAUAAGUUUUAUUGCAGAUGUCAAUAUUUAGUGUGAACCCCAAAAUGAGUCUUUAUUGCACGUCCAUAGAAGGGUAUGGGACAUUUUCGAGCCUAGAAAAAGCUACAGUUUGCUGCUUUUUUAACCCAUGAAAGAAAAUCUACAGUUACAACAUAGGGUGCCUUUAGUAGGGUUUUCAUUUCUGCUUUAUCCAACCAAAUCUGAUUGUACUUUGUCCUCUUGAUAAUUGUUAUGGCCAUAGUUUCUUGUUAAAAUUUGAUAAAUAAAAAAAACCACUUGUUAUUGUUGGUUGGUGGCACAUCAUAUUAUAUGCUACCAUAGCUGUUCAGUGAAAUCCUCCAUGCCACGUUGCCAGUAUGAAGUUGGAGGAGAUAUAAUAAAAAAUUAAAGAAAAUGUAUAACCUUAAUAGAGAUGCGUGCAUCUGAAAUCCUUAAUAUAUGGGUAAGUUGCAAGGAAGUCAUAUUAUAUGCUACCAUAGCUGUUCAGUGAAAUCCUUCAUGCCACGUUGCCAGUAUGAAGUUGGAGGAGAUAUAAUAAAAAAUUAAAAAAAAAUGUAUAACCUUAAUAGAGAUGCGUGCAUCUGAAAUCCUUAAUAUAUGGGUAAGUUGCAAGGAAGUCAUAUUUCGUGCAAAAUUCCACGUGACGUGUUGUUCCUUUGAUAAAUUGAUUGUGGUUUUGGGAAUAUAAGUUUGGGAACCACAAUAACAAGGUGAAGAUUGAUGCCUGAGUUCUUCAAUGCUUAACCAGAUGAUACAGAUCAUUCUGCAGAAAAUUUUGUCUGUGCUAGUGUUCCUAAGAUUCCUAACAUCACAU